Molecule: ribosomal RNA, 532 nt
Filed under: Salmonella enterica subsp. enterica serovar Typhimurium
Lineage: Bacteria; Pseudomonadati; Pseudomonadota; Gammaproteobacteria; Enterobacterales; Enterobacteriaceae
Description: partial 23S ribosomal RNA
Rfam family: Bacterial large subunit ribosomal RNA
Source: RNAcentral
CAAUCAAACCGGGAGAUAGCUGGUUCUCCCCGAAAGCUAUUUAGGUAGCGCCUCGUGAAUUCAUCUCCGGGGGUAGAGCACUGUUUCGGCUAGGGGGCCAUCCCGGCUUACCAACCCGAUGCAAACUGCGAAUACCGGAGAAUGUUAUCACGGGAGACACACGGCGGGUGCUAACGUCCGUCGUGAAGAGGGAAACAACCCAGACCGCCAGCUAAGGUCCCAAAGUCAUGGUUAAGUGGGAAACGAUGUGGGAAGGCCCAGACAGCCAGGAUGUUGGCUUAGAAGCAGCCAUCAUUUAAAGAAAGCGUAAUAGCUCACUGGUCGAGUCGGCCUGCGCGGAAGAUGUAACGGGGCUAAACCAUGCACCGAAGCUGCGGCAGCGAACGUAUCACCCAAGACAACUUUACGGAGUUGACGAUUGACGGAGCGAAGCGACGUCAAAGCGUUCAUUAAAGUCGAGUUGGCUUAGGGAUACGUUCGUUGGGUAGGGGAGCGUUCUGUAAGCCUGUGAAGGUGUGUCGUGAGGCAUGCU